UCCCCCUUAGCUCAGCCGGUAGAGCGAGUGGCUGUUAACCACCAGGUCCGAGGUUCGAGUCCUCGAGGGGGAGCCA
Molecule: transfer RNA, 76 nt
Filed under: Omnitrophica WOR_2 bacterium GWF2_43_52
Lineage: Bacteria; Pseudomonadati; Candidatus Omnitrophota
Also listed under: 2 other names
Description: tRNA-Asn
Rfam family: tRNA
About the family: Transfer RNA (tRNA) molecules are approximately 80 nucleotides in length. Their secondary structure includes four short double-helical elements and three loops (D, anti-codon, and T loops). Further hydrogen bonds mediate the characteristic L-shaped molecular structure. tRNAs have two regions of fundamental functional importance: the anti-codon, which is responsible for specific mRNA codon recognition, and the 3' end, to which the tRNAs corresponding amino acid is attached (by aminoacyl-tRNA synthetases). tRNAs cope with the degeneracy of the genetic code in two manners: having more than one tRNA (with a specific anti-codon) for a particular amino acid; and 'wobble' base-pairing, i.e. permitting non-standard base-pairing at the 3rd anti-codon position.
Source: RNAcentral